Molecule: ribosomal RNA, 253 nt
Filed under: uncultured bacterium
Lineage: Bacteria
Description: partial 16S ribosomal RNA
Rfam family: Bacterial small subunit ribosomal RNA
Source: RNAcentral
UACGUAGGGAGCAAGCGUUGUCCGGAAUCAUUGGGCGUAAAGCGCGCGUAGGUGGCUUCGUAAGUCCGUUGUGAAAGUCAAAGGCUCAACCUUUGAAUGCCGAUGGAUACUGGCGUGCUUGAGGACUGGAGAGGAGACUGGAAUUCAUGGUGUAGCAGUGAAAUGCGUAGAGAUCAUGAGGAAGACCAGUGGCGAAGGCGGGUCUCUGGACAGUUCCUGACACUGAGACACGAAGGCCAGGGGAGCAAACGGG